Molecule: transfer RNA, 75 nt
Filed under: Nanobdellota archaeon
Lineage: Archaea; Nanobdellati; Nanobdellota
Description: tRNA-Asp
Rfam family: tRNA
About the family: Transfer RNA (tRNA) molecules are approximately 80 nucleotides in length. Their secondary structure includes four short double-helical elements and three loops (D, anti-codon, and T loops).
Source: RNAcentral
GCCUUGGUAGUGUAGCUCGGCCUAUCAUGAAGCCCUGUCGAGGCUUCGACCCGGGUUCAAAUCCCGGCCAGGGCG